UUGGAGGGCAAGUCUGGUGCCAGCAGCCGCGGUAAUUCCAGCUCCAAUAGCGUAUAUUAAAGUUGUUGCAGUUAAAAAGCUCGUAGUUGAAUUUCGGGGUCAGUAGGUUGGUCAUGCCACUGGUAUGUACUGGUCUCACUGAUUCCUCCUUCCUGAUGAGCCGUAAUGCCAUUAAUUUGGUGUUGCGAGGAAUCUGGACUGUUACUUUGAAAAAAUUAGAGUGUUUAAAGCAGGCUAACGCUUGAAUACAUUAGCAUGGAAUAAUGAAAUAGGACGUUCGAUCUUAUUUUGUUGGCUUCUAAGAUUGACGUAAUGAUUAAUAGGGAUAGUUGGGGGCAUUAGUAUUCAAUUGUCAGAGGUGAAAUUCUUGGAUUUAUUGAAGACUAACUACUGCGAAAGCAUUUGCCAAGGAUGUUUUCAUUAAUCAAGAACGAAAGUUAGGGGAUCGAAGACGAUCAGAUACCGUCGUAGUCUUAACCAUAAACUAUGCCGACUAGGGAUCGGAUGAUGUUAAUUUUUUAAUGACUCAUUCGGCGCCUUACGGGAAAC
Molecule: ribosomal RNA, 549 nt
Filed under: uncultured Glomus
Lineage: Eukaryota; Fungi; Glomeromycota; Glomeromycetes; Glomerales; Glomeraceae
Description: SSU rRNA
Rfam family: Eukaryotic small subunit ribosomal RNA
Source: RNAcentral